RNAcentral lists this ribosomal RNA (434 nucleotides) under uncultured bacterium. RNAcentral describes it as "partial 16S ribosomal RNA". It matches the Rfam family "Bacterial small subunit ribosomal RNA", at positions 29 to 507 of the family's 1533-position model. The record is from RNAcentral.
AGCGAACGCUGGCGGCAUGCCUAACACAUGCAAGUCGAACGAACCUUUCGGGGUUAGUGUCGGACGGGUGAGUAACACGUGGGAACGUGCCCUUAGGUUCGGAAUAACUCAGGGAAACUUGUGCUAAUACCGAAUGUGCCCUUCGGGGGAAAGAUUUAUCGCCUUUAGAGGGGCCCGCGUCUGAUUAGCUAGUUGGUUGAGUUAAUGGCUCACCAAGGCGACGAUCAGUAGCUGGUCUGAGAGGAUGAUCAGCCACAUUGGGACUGAGACACGGCCCAGACUCCUACGGGAGGCAGCAGUGGGGAAUCGUGCACAAUGGGCGAAAGCCUGACGCAGCCAUGCCGCGUGAAUGAUGAAGGUCUUAGGGUUGUAAAGUUCUUUUACCGGGGACGAUAAUGACGGUACCCGGAGAAGAAGCCCCGGCUAACUUCGUG